CUCGGCAGAGAGACAGACAGACGGAUGGAAAAAAUGGUGCCGAAACAGCAGGCAGGAUAGAACAACAGUGAUGCAUGGGCUUCAAAAGAGGUCAGUAAAAGCAGCAGCCAGCAGAUACAGAAUGGAUUGGAAUCAAUCCCAAGUCGACAGAAUGCUUCCAAAUGGCACCAACCAACGGAUCCCAUCCCUGCUUAGAAGUAAGCUUCAUUGGGUUCAAGGGGACUUACUCCCAGUAGCGCACCAGUUUUGAUGGUGAUGCCAGUGCUGAAGAAACAGAGUGGUCCACUGAGACCCCCGGUAAAUUUCAAAUGGUCCAUGGAGGAAAAGAAGAAGUUUGAGAUCUGCUGCCAUCAUGGAACACAGCACGGCAUCCAACACAGGAACCCUAUCUCGGGAUGCGUCACAACACUGAAGACUGGGCAAUUAAAAAUGGCGGUGUUCUAUGGCGUCUCAAAUCCCGUUGCUGCUGCCAAUUGACAGCACUGAAGGGGACCCACUCAAGAGUGCCUGUGGUGAAAGGAUGGAGCCAGAUGAGACUUCAGCCCCAGUGGGCCGUGCCAGGGUCUCGACAGGUGCCCAGGUAUACUAGGUGCUGCCAUCAGGCCCGCCUUCAACUAUCACACUUUCAUUCAUCCCUCAAUCUACCUCUCUGUGAAAACACAGGAGUUAGUCUCCUGGACUCCUAGUGGGAGGAAGACUGGGAUAUAAAUCCAAUAAAUAAAUAAAUCCUUUCCCCCUCCCUCCCUCCCUCCCUCCCUCCCACUGGCACGCUUUGCAUGACAUCAGUUUGCAUUUUGUGGCUUGGAAAAGCCUCCUGACAGUUACAGAAAGUCCUGCUCUUUCCUGCUUGCGGAGGAUAAUUUACACCUACUUCAGCACCUCCAGCUUACUGACAGGCUGCCUCUGCCAAAGGAUUAGGCAAUGCAAUGCGGGGGAGGGAUUCACAAAUCACGCCAUUCCCUGGUUUAAAAGCCGCCCUCCAGUGGAGAAGGCACCCCCCAGUUGCCUACUUUGGACUUGCCACGCAACUGGACUUGGGUGCAGUCCCAUCAAACUUCCCCGACUGCAGCAAAUGGGCCCAUCUCUGAGCAAGUGAGUGGCUCCUGCUGCUGCUGUCAGGCCAGUGGUGGCUGGUGGGGCAGAAGGUGAGGCACCCAAAAAGGAGGUGGUGCCAAAGCCAAUGACAAGCGGAGCCAACUAACUCUAGUCUCCUCCCCUGUCCUCUCCCUCCCUGAUGAAUUCUGCAGGGGCAGCACUGAGAGGGAGGAGGAGGAGGAACCGAGGAAGCUGCGGCCAGGGCCACCCCACCCCGGAGGGGUUGCAAGUAACUACACGGGCAAGUGGGGGCUGGCUCACGACAGGCUGAGGUUGGUGGGCAGCGCCCCCUUCCCUAAUGGGUGAGCCUCCACUGGGUUAGAUCUCUUGCCUAAGGUGGUACAAUUUUCUGUUUUUUAAAAUACGUUGCCAAAGAAACACUCCUAAUACAGGGAAGAGUUUAAAAGUGCAGAGGGGAAAACAAACUUUCCCAAAAACAUAUACAGUUGUAUGGCAAAAAGGCAGAAGUGGAGAACUAACAAGGAAGAUCACUCUCCACACUUCCCGGAGAAGCUGCUGUUCCCAGCAGCCAAAACAACACCUUGCUGACUAACCAGUUUUGUUAUGUCAUAAUAAGCUGUCAUGGACUGCAGUCUACCUCAUCAGAUGCGUGAAGUGUUAUCUUGAGUUACAGAUACAUAUACACAUUUUUUGGGUGUGUGUCUGUAAACAGUGAGGUCAGAAGGAAAUGAAAUGCCCCCAAAUACUGAGAGUAAUAAUUACAGUAGCCAUUCAUAAAAAACAAGUGUUGAUAACACAACUAGCAAGCUAAUUCACACAUGCAGUGCGACUCAAACAAACAAACAUAUUGCUGAAUCCCCUUCAAGCCACAAGUGGUAGAAUUGACAUGGAGACAGAAAACUGGAACUUUUGCAAGUGCCACAUCAUAUUCCUUUCUGCACUUUCAAGAAAUUAAUCCUUCCGUGUGGCAGCACCCGCACCUUGGAACUCCCUGCCCAGUGACAUUCGACAGGCACCUUUGCUGUACUGUUUCCGGCGCCUGCUUGAAAAAAGGUGUUUUUGUUUGUUUGUUUGUUUGUUUAAGCAAGCCUGGAAGAAGAGGGAGGGAAAGAUUGCAGUGAAGUGCAUUAAAA
Molecule: long non-coding RNA, 2189 nt
Organism: Rhineura floridana
Lineage: Eukaryota; Metazoa; Chordata; Lepidosauria; Squamata; Rhineuridae
Exons: 3
Source: RefSeq, a predicted model, not a curated record